Helianthus annuus (common sunflower) is the source of this 743-nucleotide long non-coding RNA. RefSeq lists it as uncharacterized. The transcript is spliced from 2 exons. Lineage: Eukaryota; Viridiplantae; Streptophyta; Magnoliopsida; Asterales; Asteraceae. The record is from RefSeq and is a predicted model, not a curated record.
UAGAAAUGUUUUUUUUAUUGUAGCUUAAAUGGACACUUGAGGCUGAGCAGAUGUCAAAACCCUGUUAGAUAUUUUUUAAGCAAUUGAAUACUUUUGACAACUCGAAGUCGGAUUGUUUUCGUGUUUUUUUACACAUUACCGCCCAUAUUACGACAGUUGUAUUAUAUUUUUCAUAACCGAUUUUUAUGUAUUUUUUAAAAGUAUUUAGUCGUUAUGCUUAGUUGUGUUGUUUAGCCAAAUAAAUGGAGUUUUUUGCAGCUUAAAUUUAACUGCAGUCAUACCCGCAUAAGAUAUUGAUCGGGAGGCAAGCGCAAAUUGCGACGAUUAAGCAAAUGGGUGGACUUGAUGGUUUGCCGAAGAGAGUAAACAUGAAACUUUUGGUGUUGGUCAUAGCUCGACUAGCAUUUCUACGAGUUUAGGAUAUGCGUAAUAAUAGCUGAAGAUGGUAGAUAGAAGAGAAAGGUGGCACUCGCAUGGAAUAGCUUUUGGUACUGAUCCGAUCACUUUCUCUAAAGACUUUCCUAGCAGAUUUGAUGUUUUUAUGAAAGACAAUUAUCUGUUAGAAAGACAUUAAUCUCAAACUCAAGGCUUUAGAAGCCGCAGGUAGCAAGUCCGUUGGAAGAAGUCAUGUAAUAGAAGUAUAGGGGGACAUUUUGUUUUGACUGUGAAAAUUCAUAUAUUACAAGAUUCUAAUAGAAGUCAUGUAUGUUAAAGUUCUUUAAUUCAAACAAUAUUUCAUGUUG